RNAcentral lists this ribosomal RNA (27 nucleotides) under Puccinia linkii. RNAcentral describes it as "partial 5.8S ribosomal RNA". Lineage: Eukaryota; Fungi; Basidiomycota; Pucciniomycetes; Pucciniales; Pucciniaceae. The record is from RNAcentral.
AAAGGCACACCUGUUUGAGUGUCAUGA